RNAcentral lists this unclassified non-coding RNA (197 nucleotides) under rhizosphere metagenome. Its description in RNAcentral is "partial ribosomal RNA internal transcribed spacer region". The record is from RNAcentral.
GUAGGUGAACCUGCGGAAGGAUCAUUAUCGUGGGGCUUCGGCCCUCUCGAGAUAGAAACCCUUGCCUUUCCGAGUACCCUUUGUUUCCUCGGCAGGCCUGCCUGCCAUGGGGACCACCUUUAACUCUUUGUAUUAGCAGUGACGUCUGAUUUUAAACAAAACAAUCAAAACUUUCAACAACGGAUCUCUUGGUUCUG